UUUCAAUAAAUAAAUUAAAAAAAAUGAAAGCCACCACGAAAUACAACGAUCAGCUAGAAAAUCAUACGAAGCGCGAUGUUGGUACCAGUCAAGUGAAUAAGCCAACGAUACCGUAUUCAAGUAACGGAGCACAAGAAACACAACGUCAUACUAGAAAAAAGGAUAACGCUGAAGUGUCAAAAAUAACGUAUCAAGGCCUUGAAACACGAAAACCAGUGGCAAUUGAAAAGGGAUCGAGACGACUUAAUAACGCUCCGCGAAUUCCUCUAACGAAUGCAGCAAUCUGGAACAACGGCAACAUUGAGAAAAGUAACAAGAGAGACAAUGUUGGAACUAAUCAACAAAAUCAGUCAACGAAAUUGGUGGCAAAGAGCGGAAAAGAAAUACACAACCAAAAAAAAGGAAAGAAUCCGACCGAGAGGUGUUGGAAGAUUAUGAAAAAGAUAUACAUGAAAGGCCUAAAAGACCAAAAGGGCUGUCGGAACCGGUGAAUAGAAGGGUGCAGCAAAAAAACUUGAAGGACCGGGGUAGAAUACAGUUUAUCGAAAAACAAAGUCAGUCACACAGGGAGAAUAAUAGUAUUGAUGAUACUACCGGAGAACAUAACAAAAAUCGAGUGGAAGAAAGAGUGCCCACGACCUCGCGUUACUCAUGGAACGAGAGAGAAAAGAUAAAAAAUGCAGUAAUGAGUGUAUAAAUACAACAGAACGCAUAACUAUAUGAUGAUGAUGAAGCAGACUUGGAAAUAUUCAAUAUCACGUUAGAUGAUGAAAUCGAGGAAGUCGAAAUAAUUCCUGGAUGGUUAAUUAACCGGAAAAUAUUUGUCAACGCGGGAUCUGCUUCAAACAUGAACAAAAGACUAAAUACCUUGAUGUCAGCUUUGUGGAGCAAAGAUGAGAUGGACAAAUUAGUCGUUAAAAAGAGGAGAAAACGUGAUCAUGGGAAACGUGAAAUAACUACAAUGGAAAUUAAAAAGUUGAUGUAUGCCUGUAUCAAGCUGCAAUCCAUAAAAGAACUCCCGAUGGAAGGAGUGGACUCCAUCGUCAAUAUAAGAGCGAUGAUUUCGAACAAAUUAAAAAACGACCGCUAUAAUAAUAACCGCGCAAAAAAAAAAGCUACGAAGAAGGCACGAAAAAAUGGAGCGGCUGCAUCUAAUCAUUCCGGCGACGAAGACGACGAUGAUAUCCAAGACGACGAUGCCGACGGCGACGACAGCGGCGGCAACAACGUUGAUACCGACGACAACAGCGAUGACGAUGACCUAAACAUCGACGAUGACGACAACAACGUCGAUGUUUACGACUAUAAUAGCGACAACGACAACUGAAACGUUGACGUCAUCAACGCCAAUAAUUAAUUUAAUUUUUCUCCAUCUCGCAUAAUCAGUAAACAACAUCGCAGAAAGCCAAGCAUUUACCGGUAGAAUGAACGGAAUCAGUAGAUUAAUAUAAUGAUAGAUAAGAAGAUGUAUUUGAAUCAAAAGACUGAAUUUUAGAUAUAGCUAAAGAUUGGUAUGUCUGUGUUGUGAUUACAAUUUUCAAUACAUUAUGUCGCGUAAAAAAUUUUUUUUCAGUCAAAAUGUUUUAUACGACAUUGAAGUGCAAUUAAAUGCAAUGUAAGAAGCGACAAACAAAUAUCUAGCAAAAACGGUACUCGUUUUUGAAACGCGUACACUAAAUGAAUCUAUAUCUAUUUAAUUUUGUUAAUAAAAAAUCGCUAUAUAUGAGUAGACAAUUACAGAAUGGAAGGAAACAAAAAGUGUUAUGGAGUUUUUACGCUAAACACAAAUGUAAUAGAUCAAUUAGUGCAUACUUUGUGGACAAUAACAAAAUGUUACAAGCGGGUUGAGGUUUCGGAGGAUAAAUUGUAAGAGUGUGAUUAUUUUAUACAUUUAGCAAACAAACGUAUUGUGCCAAAAUUUUUGCUGUGAUACAGAAAUCGUCGAAUUCGAAUAAAAACUUUAUUGAUACAAA
RNAcentral lists this unclassified non-coding RNA (1973 nucleotides) under Venturia canescens. Its description in RNAcentral is "histone chaperone rtt106-like, transcript variant X1". Lineage: Eukaryota; Metazoa; Arthropoda; Insecta; Hymenoptera; Ichneumonidae. The record is from RNAcentral.